Molecule: ribosomal RNA, 424 nt
Filed under: uncultured bacterium
Lineage: Bacteria
Description: partial 16S ribosomal RNA
Rfam family: Bacterial small subunit ribosomal RNA
Source: RNAcentral
GUGGGGAAUCUUGCGCAAUGGGCGAAAGCCUGACGCAGCCAUGCCGCGUGGAUGAUGAAGGUCUUAGGAUUGUAAAAUCCUUUCACCGGUGAAGAUAAUGACUGUAGCCGGAGAAGAAGCCCCGGCUAACUUCGUGCCAGCAGCCGCGGUAAUACGAAGGGGGCUAGCGUUGCUCGGAUUUACUGGGCGUAAAGGGCGCGUAGGCGGACAUUUAAGUCAGGGGUGAAAUCCCGAGGCUCAACCUCGGAACUGCCUUUGAUACUGGGUGUCUUGAGUAUGAGAGAGGUGUGUGGAACUCCGAGUGUAGAGGUGAAAUUCGUAGAUAUUCGGAAGAACACCAGUGGCGAAGGCGACUCACUGGCUCAUUACUGACGCUGAGGCUCGAAAGCGUGGGGAGCAAACAGGAUUAGAAACCCGUGUAGUC